Molecule: ribosomal RNA, 477 nt
Filed under: uncultured bacterium
Lineage: Bacteria
Description: bacterial SSU rRNA
Rfam family: Bacterial small subunit ribosomal RNA
Source: RNAcentral
CAGGACGAACGCUGGCGGCGUGCCUAACACAUGCAAGUCGAGCGAGGAGAUUCCUUCGGGAUGAUCCUAGCGGCGGACGGGUGAGUAACACGUGGGCAACCUGCCUCAUAGAGAGGAAUAGCCUUCCGAAAGGGAGAUUAAUACCUCAUAACAUUGCAGUUUCGCAUGAAACAGCAAUUAAAGGAGCAAUCCGCUAUGAGAUGGGCCCGCGGCGCAUUAGCUAGUUGGUGAGGUAACGGCUCACCAAGGCGACGAUGCGUAGCCGACCUGAGAGGGUGAUCGGCCACAUUGGGACUGAGACACGGCCCAGACUCCUACGGGAGGCAGCAGUGGGGAAUAUUGCACAAUGGGGGAAACCCUGAUGCAAGCAACGCCGCGUGAGUGAUGACGGCCUUCGGGUUGUAAAGCUCUGUCUUCAGGGACGAUAAUGACGGUACCUGAGGAGGAAGCCACGGCUAACUACGUGCCAGCCGCAGC